GAUUCCGGGCCCGGCGGCCGCGGGGAGCGGGUGCCAGUUAGGAACGGGGUUUCUGAUCUCCUCGUUUGCGUUUUGGGGGUUCUUUUUGUUCAUAGCAGCAGGUGCAACUUUUUGUCUUUUCUUAAAAAAACAAAACAAAACAUUGAUUUUCAUUUUCUCGUGGGUAUGUAGGGGGGCGUUAUCCACCGAGCUGCUCUCUAUUAGGGCUCCAGGCGGGCGAAGCAAAGGCUGGGAUGGCGGGCGGGGCGGCGGCGAAGGUAGAAUGGGCGCUUCUUUUCCUCCCAUCUGGUUCCCUUUAUUUAUUUAUUUAGACUCGAAAAAGCGAGCCGGCUUGGAGGAAGUCCGCCCAGCGAUCCGAGUGCGCAUUGAUCAGUGUCGAGAGAAAAAAAAAGCUACAUAAAUAUAUAUUAUGUGGGUAAAUCUAUAGACAAGAGCGCUCUCUCGCGCGCGCGCGCUCUCUUUCUCUGUUUUUUUCCCUCCUCGCAUCCCCAACCUGCCAGAGCAACCCCAAAUCUUCGCCCUCCGCAAAACUGUCUACAGCCACCCGAGCUACCUGGGGAGGACGGGUCUGGGGAGCGGUCGGGCCGCGCCGGGGGGACGGGGCGUAGAAAUUCGGGGCCCGACCCUCGUCCCAGCCCGCCCGCGAAGGCUGGAGGUGGGUGUUUCCGUCCGGGACUGCCUCCCCGCCCCGAAGCGCAGCGGCUGCACCGGCAGGCGGCUGGCGGGAGGAAGGUAGGAGCCGGGCGCGUCGGCCGCUCGCCAGGCGGGGAAGCAGGCAGCUUCUGGGCGCGGUGGCCGGUGAGCCAGCACGAGGGACUGGCUUGAUUUUGCCCUUGUCUGCUUUACUGGUUCAAAUUGAAAAAAAUUUUUUAUUAUUAUUCUUUUGUAAAGCCACCAUCAAAAGAAAUAAAGUCCCCGAGUCGCUCUCCGGGCUGCGGCCGGACUCAGACACCCGCUGCGUGCGCUGCCCCACACGGGCUUCGUUUGCAGCACUUCCCGCUCCAGAAGUGCAGGGCUGGGCGGCACGUCUGAGGGAGAGGGCCGAGGGUCCGGCCGCCCAGCCCGGACUCCGCCGGGUUCCCCAUCGGGCCCGCGGUGGCCGGGACGUCGGCUGCGCCGGAGAGGGAGUGGCUGGCGCGGGAGCUGGGUUCGAGCAGCCCCGCCUCUGGGGGCCAAGGCUGGUAGUGAACUUGAUUUGGGAAAGCAGAUUUUCCUUUUUAAUGAUAUUUACCUGCUCCCCAUGCUCUCCUAUAUUGGCGUUUCCAGGACAGCCUCUUCUCGGCUUCAGAAACCGGACAAAUAAGAUAACGCGCCGCUCCCUCGCGGGUUGCGGGGCAGAGCUGAUGGUGUGACCCUGGACUGGUCCCCGUUGGCCCCUUUCCGGUGUUUUGCGUUUCUCUCUCCUUGCCCUCGGCAUACGUGACGUUACUAGACGACAUGUUUAAAAUUUAGUUAAAGAAAUGAGACCCUAGCUGCCUGAAAACCGAGACCCAGCCCGUUUGAUACAGCCACGACGCCGCCAAGCUCUCCAGCGCCGGAGGAGGCCCCGAGGUUCGCUGCCCCAGGCCCGGAGUCCAGCCAGGACACCUCUCCCUGACGAUCCCGGGCCCAACCCUAACAGCAAGUACAGUUCUGAGAAUUGUGGAACUUCAUCCUUUCAUUUUAAGACACUCCUGCCUUUGCUUGAUGGAAUCCUGUAGGCUUGCAAAGACUCCUUGCUUCGUGCUUUUCUGCGCAUCUGCCUCCUGCACCCUGGUUCCUCUUCACAUCCGGACCCUGGACCUGAAGCUAUGAAGAGCCUCUUCUUCCCUAGGGAAGGUUCCUGACUCUCCCCUCUCUCCCAUCUGAGGACAGCUUAUUUUGGAUCUGGGCUGUCUUCCCUUGCACAUUCUUCAACUUUUAGCUCCAGGGCAGCAACAGAGAAAGGACAGGCCUGGGAAGACCCAGCUAUCUUGUUAGAAAGACCAAAGUCAUCCCAAGUGAAAAGCCC
Bubalus bubalis (water buffalo) is the source of this 1990-nucleotide long non-coding RNA. RefSeq lists it as uncharacterized. The transcript is spliced from 3 exons. The record is from RefSeq and is a predicted model, not a curated record. NCBI's taxonomy places the organism in Eukaryota, Metazoa, Chordata, Mammalia, Artiodactyla, Bovidae.